Molecule: ribosomal RNA, 1068 nt
Filed under: uncultured bacterium
Lineage: Bacteria
Description: bacterial SSU rRNA
Rfam family: Bacterial small subunit ribosomal RNA
Source: RNAcentral
UGAGUGAUGAAGGACUGUGGUCUGUAAAGCUCUUUUGUGAGGGACGAAUUCUGACGGUACCUCACGAAUAAGGAUCGGCUAAUUCCGUGCCAGCAGCCGCGGUAAUACGGGGGAUCCAAGCGUUAUUCGGAAUUAUUGGGCGUAAAGCGUACGUAGGCGGUUUGCCAAGUCUGGGGUUAAAGCCCGCAGCUUAACUGCGGAUCGGCCCUGGAAACUGGCAGACUUGAGUAUGGUAGGGGCAAGGGGAAUUCCACAUGUAGCGGUGAAAUGCGUAGAUAUGUGGAGGAACACCUGUGGCGAAAGCGCCUUGCUGGACUGUAACUGACGCUGAGGUACGAAAGCCAGGGGAGCAAAUGGGAUUAGAUACCCCAGUAGUCCUGGCCGUAAACGAUGGACACUAGGUGUGAUGCGUAUCGACCCGCGUCGUGCCGUAGCUAACGCGUUAAGUGUCCCGCCUGGGGAGUACGCACGCAAGUGUGAAACUCAAAGGAAUUGACGGGGGCCCGCACAAGCGGUGGAGCAUGUGGUUUAAUUCGAUGCAACCCGAAGAACCUUACCAGGGCUUGACAUGUCGAGAAUCCUGCGGAAACGUGGGAGUGCCUUCGGGAACUCGAACACAGGUGCUGCAUGGCUGUCGUCAGCUCGUGUCGUGAGAUGUUGGGUUAAGUCCCGCAACGAGCGCAACCCUUGUUGUCAGUUGCCAUCAUUAAGUUGGGCACUCUGGCGAGACUGCCGGGGACAACUCGGAGGAAGGUAGGGAUGACGUCAAGUCAGCAUGGCCCUUACGCCCUGGGCUACACACGUGCUACAAUGCGGCGGACAAAGAGUUGCGAACCUGCGAAGGGGAGCCAAUCUCAAAAACCGUCGCUCAGUUCAGAUUGGAGGCUGCAACUCGCCUCCAUGAAGUCGGAAUCGCUAGUAAUCGCAGGUCAGCAUACUGCGGUGAAUACGUUCCCGGGCCUUGUACACACCGCCCGUCACACCAUGGAAGCUGGUCAUGCCCGAAGUCGGUGUACCCGCCGAAGGCAGGGCUGGCGACUGGGGUGAAGUCGUAACAAGGUAACCGUA